Molecule: long non-coding RNA, 753 nt
Filed under: Gallus gallus (chicken)
Lineage: Eukaryota; Metazoa; Chordata; Aves; Galliformes; Phasianidae
Description: lncRNA (ENSGALG00010023719.1)
Source: RNAcentral
CUCUUUAGAUACCGGAAGGCCACUAUCAGGUCUCUGUGGAGUCUUUUCUCCUCUAGGCUGAACAGCCCCAAUUCUGUCAGCCUGUCCUUGCAGGAGAGGUGUUCCAUCCCUUGGAUUGCUUUCAUGGUCCUCCUCUGGAUGUGCUCCAGCAGUUCCAUGUCUCUCCUGUACUGAGGACUCUGUAUUUAGACACAGUACUCCAGAGAGCGUGACACUGAUGAUGAGCUGGGAUUGCCUGUCCCACCCUGUCCCCUUCCAGGCAGCGUGUCUCAGCCAAGUGCUGUGCUCAGGGAGCUUCCAGAGAGCCACAGCUGUUAUACUUAGGAGAUGCUUACACUACAGAGGGAUCCUCACAGGGAACAAAGGUGACUCUGUCUGAUGCUGUCCAGAAACCAGGCAAAGCGUCACUUCUGUUCCCAAGGAGUCUAUUGCAUGCCCACCAUGUGCUUCACGUGCAUUCAGAGGAUUGGCCCAUUGUUUCUUCAUUCAAGGGUGACUGGCACAGGCUGCCCAGAAAAGCUGCAGUGUCUUUGUCCUUCAAAACCCGACCAGAUACAUCCCUGAUCAACCUGCCCCAGCUGACCUUGCUCGGAGCUGGGAAUUUGGACCAGAAGAUCUCCAAAGAUCCCAUCCAUCCUCAAUCUUUGGGUGGUUCUAAGAGUAAGGAGAGCGGAGUACAGGUUUCUUUUGCACUGAGAAAUCCCGUCCUUUUCACUGAUGGCAUAUGAUGACAGAGAACAGUCUGUUCUGGAG